RNAcentral lists this ribosomal RNA (502 nucleotides) under uncultured Enterococcus sp. Its description in RNAcentral is "bacterial SSU rRNA". It matches the Rfam family "Bacterial small subunit ribosomal RNA", at positions 33 to 507 of the family's 1533-position model. The record is from RNAcentral. Lineage: Bacteria; Bacillati; Bacillota; Bacilli; Lactobacillales; Enterococcaceae.
GACGCUGGCGGCGUGCCUAAUACAUGCAAGUCGAACGCUCUUUCUCCCGAGUGCUUGCACUCAAUUGGAAAGAGGAGUGGCGGACGGGUGAGUAACACGUGGGUAACCUACCCAUCAGAGGGGGAUAACACUUGGAAACAGGUGCUAAUACCGCAUAACAGUUUAUGCCGCAUGGCAUAAGAGUGAAAGGCGCUUUCGGGUGUCGCUGAUGGAUGGACCCGCGGUGCAUUAGCUAGUUGGUGAGGUAACGGCUCACCAAGGCCACGAUGCAUAGCCGACCUGAGAGGGUGAUCGGCCACACUGGGACUGAGACACGGCCCAGACUCCUACGGGAGGCAGCAGUAGGGAAUCUUCGGCAAUGGACGAAAGUCUGACCGAGCAACGCCGCGUGAGUGAAGAAGGUUUUCGGAUCGUAAAACUCUGUUGUUAGAGAAGAACAAGGACGUUAGUAACUGAACGUCCCCUGACGGUAUCUAACCAGAAAGCCACGGCUAACCACGUG